GAUGAACGCUGGCGGCGUGCCUAAUACAUGCAAGUCGAGCGAACGGACGAGAAGCUUGCUUUUCUGAUGUUAGCAGCGGACGGGUGAGUAACACGUGGAUAACCUACCUAUAAGACUGGGAUAACUUCGGGAAACCGGAGCUAAUACCGGAUAAUAUUUUGAACCGCAUGGUUCAAAAGUGAAAGACGGUCUUGCUGUCACUUAUAGAUGGAUCCGCGCUGCAUUAGCUAGUUGGUAAGGUAACGGCUUACCAAGGCAACGAUGCAUAGCCGACCUGAGAGGGUGAUCGGCCACACUGGAACUGAGACACGGUCCAGACUCCUACGGGAGGCAGCAGUAGGGAAUCUUCCGCAAUGGGCGAAAGCCUGACGGAGCAACGCCGCGUGAGUGAUGAAGGUCUUCGGAUCGUAAAACUCCGUUAUUAGGGAAGAACAUAUGUGUAAGUAACUGUGCACAUCUUGACGGUACCUAAUCAGAAAGCCACGGCUAACUACGUG
This 497-nucleotide ribosomal RNA is filed under the name uncultured bacterium. Its description in RNAcentral is "partial 16S ribosomal RNA". It matches the Rfam family "Bacterial small subunit ribosomal RNA", at positions 28 to 507 of the family's 1533-position model. The record is from RNAcentral.